CCAAGUCAGUUCCGGUCGAGAGCGCGGAGAGGAGCGGAGCGGAGCGCGGCCUGCUUCCCCGGGGCCCUCGGCGCCUUGCGGCCCCAGGCCCGAGGCCGAGCGGAGGGCCCCGGGGACCGGCGGGGGCACUCGCGGCAGCGGGCUCCCGCAUCCCCGCCGCAAUGACUUGGUGGCGGCGGCGGCCCCAGCGAGCCCGGGCUCCACCCUGCCGGGUCAUCGAGGCCUCGCCCGGCUGCCGAGGACGCGGCGCCCUUGGUGGCGGCGGGCAUGGCGCAGCCGGGCCACCGCGGCGGCGGAGGCUUUGACGGGCUGGAGGACGGAGACCGCAGGAGGCCUUGGAAGCUCGCCCGCAUUCUAGGCCGCCGAUCCGGGACCUGGGGUGACCUCCCUGCCCCACAGGGAGGCCGCACCCCGCGACAAGGACACACGAAGGCCCUAACGGUCCUGGCAGGUGAGCGGAGCCCCGGAUGACGGCAGGGGCAACGGUUGGCGGCCCCGGCGGUUGGGCUGGUGCCCGCGGAGAAACGGUAGAGUGAUGGCCACGGGUGCCCACCGGAAGCCCACGAAGAUUUCCUGGCCGCUAGCAGGCCUGUGUAUAUAAUAUGAAAAAGCUGCUCUCAACUUCCCCCAACCUUUUAAAAGACGACUUUGAGUCCAUCUGGGCAUUCCAGAUGCGAAGAGGUUGCCGACGUAUGAUGAAGUAGAGGUAGAAAGUCGCACCUGUCAAUGCCCAUGUGUUUGUAAAGACCAUAGAAACGUCUUCUGGAAGUGACUUGGAAUGGCGGUGUGAGACCACCUCCAGAGGACACAGCCAGAGCCACACUCGUCCGCGUUUGUUCCGUUCGGUGGUUGGAGGACAUGGAAUAGAAGACCCGUGAGAAGGAAGAGGGGAUCGGCGAAGACGUUUUCCAGUGACAGCCAUUGAUCUGUGUGCAUCUCAUUCCCCUUGCUGUAUAUAGAGUUGACUGCACUUAAGUACCUUUGAUAUUCUGAAGUGCCUGAUGUAUUUUUAAAGUAGGAGUAGGAAAAUAACACAUUUUGUAAACGUCCCUAUUAAAAGUCUUGUGAAAUGCAUUUGGGGGGGGGGGGAGGGAGAACGGUUAACCGCUUGAGUUGUAGGCGUGGUGCUUACGCCUUGGUACCCAGGUGAAAGAAAUGUAAAGAGGGCCACUCCAGUGCUUACAGGGAAGAGGAACCUUGUCCCAUUUUGUUCUACUUUCUUGUGUACAUAGUGUAUAUAAAGGACAAAGGAGUCCUAACUUACAUCUAGUCUUUCUAGAUGUUAGAGAGGUUGCCAGUGUAUGACAAAAAUAGAAUUAGUAGACUUUGUAUGUUUUGUGUUAAAAUCCCUAGAAAAGGUCUUCUGAAAAUCUGAGCAAUCUAGCCCACUGGGUAGGUGGACAAAGGUUCUAGAAUGUUCAUAUUUUGAAGACAUUUUUCAGAUUAUAAUUAGUUACAUGUGUGCAGUCAGUGAAGACUGCCGUGUAUAUAGUGGACAAACUGAGUCCUUACUUGAAAACAUCUAGUCUCUCUAGAUGUUUAGAAGUGCCCAACGUAUGUUAAAUGUAGAGAUAGUAAAAUAAUCACUUUUUAGGUAUCUUUUUGCUAACAUUCACAUGAAACACUGUCUUUAGAAAAUGGAAUGGGGGAACCACCUCUGUGAGCAGAAUGGCAGGUACUGACUGUACUCAUUUAUUGGUUUGGAGGAGAGGUGGAAGUGAGCAAUUGCAAAAAGUAAUGUGCUAGUGUAUUCAUACCUGGACAUCCUCAGAUGCCAUUUUUCUGUAUUGUGCAUUUUGUUUUGCUGUGUAUAUAGUGUAUAUAUAAUAGACAAAAAAAGCCCAACUUUUGCAACAUCUAGUCUCUAGAUGUUAAAAGAGGUUGCCAGUGUAUGACAACGUAGUAAAAUUAGCACAUUUUGUGUACUUUGUGUUAAAAUGUCAUAGGAAGCUUUUUUUCUGUAAAUGACAAUUAGAUAAUGAAUUUGUUUAACUAUCUCUAAGCAUUACAUAUGCCUGUACUGGUCUACUGGUUUGAAGGCAGAUAGAAGGAAUUGAGGAGGGAAUGGCCCAUGGCCAAAAUGGCCGUAUUUAGAGGAUACCUCGGAUUAUAACCACUGUUGCAUGUGCAAUUGUAUUUACCAGUGCUGUGAGCACAGCAAGCAAGUUUGCCUAUGAAAUAGUCAGUCCUAGGUAUUUAGAAGUGUUUGGUGUACUUAAAAGUAGAAGUAGAAUAACUGUAAAUAGCUUUGCAAAAUUUGGGAAAUACUGUGUUUGGAAAUGGAGUUGUUAAACCACCUCUGUGAACAGUGUACUGUCUGUACUUGUUCACUGGGUUGAAGGUGAUGGAAAGGAAACUGCUGCAAAAGUUAAUUUUGUUAGUGUGUGUGAGAAAAUUUCAGCUUAUCCCUUACCCUCUACGUUACGUACAUUUCGUUUAAUUUUGCUGUAUUGUAUAUAUUAUGUACAGACUGGACAAAUGAGUCCUAAUUUUAUAAUAUCUAGUCUCUAGAUAUUAAAGAGGUUGCCAGUGUAUGACAGAAGUAGAGUUAGUAAACUAACACAUGUUGUAUGCAUUGUUAAAAUUCAUAGAAAGGCUGUCUUCUGAAAAAGGCUUUAGAAGCAAAAUUGUAACAUCUGUAUAUAUACAUGGGUCAGAUGUGAUACU
This is a long non-coding RNA of Dipodomys spectabilis (banner-tailed kangaroo rat), 2667 nucleotides long. RefSeq lists it as uncharacterized. The record is from RefSeq and is a predicted model, not a curated record. Lineage: Eukaryota; Metazoa; Chordata; Mammalia; Rodentia; Heteromyidae. The transcript has 4 exons.